AGGGACGGGACGCGCUCCGGGACGCGCAGGGUACCAAAACGCACGAGGGGCAGAGCUAGCGGGGGCGAUGGGGAGCUCGCAGCCGCUGUGCGCUCGAGCUGCCGGCAGCAGUGCACGCUGAGCGAUGCGGCCGGGAGAGCCCCGAUGUGCGGUGGCCGCGCUGAGGCACCGCGGGGGGAGCGGUCCUUCGGAGCGGUCGUUCUCUCCGUGCCCCACCCCGGGGGCAGCGGCGGUACCCGGAGCGCGGCGCCCGCACGGGGCUGCGGGGGGGACACGUCAGAACGAACAUCGCGCCGCCGCACAGCGCACGUUUUCAAACCGGGAGCAAAAAUAUAACUGGAAAUGACGUCUGGGUGCGGGGGACAUUUCGGAGACUUCAUUUAGAGCUUUACGACAGCUUAUGCAAACUUCACUCCCCCUUCGCUUCCCCCUCGCGGUGCCCGACUGCUCUUUGGAGAACUGCCUCUCAAACCCAGCCCGACCCUCCCCAGCACGAGGUGAGGCACGAGGUGAGGCCGUCACCUCCCGUCCUAUGGCUGGUUACGAUAUUAACCCCAACGCUGUGGCUGCAGGAGCCGCAUCAGUGCAAAGGAAGCCGGUUCCUUCUAAUUGCUGCAGCUCAAUUUACCCAAUCCUUCUUGCUCCUGGAGAGACUCGCAGACUGAGAACGUCUGUCUCCUGUCGCAUGGGAUGAGGUGUCUUUGCGACAUACUGUAGAUGAAGGCCACAUCACCCCUCCUGACUUCUUGGC
This 751-nucleotide long non-coding RNA is filed under the name Gallus gallus (chicken). Lineage: Eukaryota; Metazoa; Chordata; Aves; Galliformes; Phasianidae. The record is from RNAcentral.